AUGGCAGCAGCUCACUAAAAAGCCUGCUCAGGUUUCUUCUCUCAUGCUACACGUUCAAUGACCCUGAGACUGAAAGUUGACUCAGUAACUCUCAGCAUAUUCAAAGAGAGAACAUUUGCAUUGAACUUAUUAACUAAGAAAACUAAAAGAUAUAUGUAUGUUCAGAAGAAUAAACCAUGCUGCAAAAAGGCCUUUACACGUCAUUUGUACUAUGCCUGCAUUGUACGGCGACCAAUGCACAGAAGGGUUUAUGUGCUAACAUUAUGUACAGCCAACUGCUUGGCUGUUAUUUACAUAUCGUAAAAUGUGUGUUACAUUAUAACAUUAAUCCAUAUGAUUUAUAGAGCAAUCCGAUUUUCUCUGCGCCGCCUCAGCGGAAUUCAUUCUGAUAUGAAAUGCCCAAUUAAAUUGAACACAAACUAAUGUUUUGUCCCCUUUCAGAACAAUGUGGCAGAAAUCCAAUCAACCGCCUCUCUUUAUAAUCAGUGAUGGCGAAUAGCAGUCACGUGACCGCGUGGCCUCGUGGUGUAUUUGAGCUGAACACAGUGAUGUGUGACUCCCUCACAGCGAGGAGGCUCGCCGCUGACAUGUUUACCACAGUCGUUUAUGUGUUGCUUCUUUUACACUCAGGUCUUGCGGUUGUAGUCCUUCAGUCUGGAGAUCAAACGUCCCACCCGGGUCACGCGGUGAGCUUCGUGUGCAACAUGGGUCAAGGGGUCAGCAUGGGCAGCUACACCAUGCUCUGGUACCGACAAACCCACCGUGGAGCUCCGCUGGACUUCCUCUCCAAGGAAUACGACCAGACCACGGGGCACUUCCAGUCGUCCAUCGACACAUCCAGAAACAACUUCUCUCUUCAAAUUACUGAGGUGCUCCUGAAUGACAGCAGUACCUACUACUGUGCUGCCAGUCACAGUGAUGCACAGGGACCAGAUGUUCAUACUAAUAUCAAGUCUACACGGGGGCCACAGAUGGCUCACAGGCAGGAAGGAGGUGUUGGUUCUGUGGUUUUCUAUGAAAUUGGGGGAACAAGAAAGAAUAAAUGACACUGAUCCAGUAUGGUGAGACGCACCAGCGGUAAUUCAUAUAUAUAUAUAUAUAUUUAUACACACACACGGUGUCAAAUAUCACAACAAUUAUAUUGUUUGCAAUAAAUAGAUCUUAAAGUCUUGUUAUGCAUAUGAGGUUUGCAUACUAAAGGAAAAUCAGUUGCUUCUUGAAUUGGGAAAUGAAAAGAGAAUUAUAUCCGACAUUCUUUAAUUAGAACAUUUAACUAAACACAAAAAGGAAAUAAAAAUGAAACAUGCAGUUUAUUGGGCAAAUGAACAUAAAAAUGGCAUAUUGUGAAACCCUAAUAUGUACUUGGGAGUAGGA
Gasterosteus aculeatus aculeatus (three-spined stickleback) is the source of this 1374-nucleotide non-coding RNA. The record is from the annotation of a RefSeq genome assembly. Lineage: Eukaryota; Metazoa; Chordata; Actinopteri; Perciformes; Gasterosteidae.